Molecule: unclassified non-coding RNA, 344 nt
Filed under: soil metagenome
Description: partial contains 5.8S ribosomal RNA, internal transcribed spacer 2, and large subunit ribosomal RNA
Rfam family: 5.8S ribosomal RNA (bases 1-120)
Source: RNAcentral
GAUGAAGAACUCAGCGAAAUGCGAUAAGUAAUGUGAAUUGCAGAAUUCAGUGAAUCAUCGAAUCUUUGAACGCACAUUGCGCCCUCUGGUAUUCCGGAGGGCAUGCCUGUCCGAGCGUCAUUGCUGCCCUCAAGCACGGCUUGUGUGUUGGGCUCCGUCCCCCGAUCCCGGGGGACGGGCCCGAAAGGCAGCGGCGGCACCGCGUCCGGUCCUCGAGCGUAUGGGGCUUUGUCACCCGCUCUGUAGGCCCGGCCGGCGCUUGCCGAUCAACCAAAUUUUUAUCCAGGUUGACCUCGGAUCAGGUAGGGAUACCCGCUGAACUUAAGCAUAUCAUAAGCGGAGGA